CUCGCAUUACUGACCGGCUGCCCGUGCGUCGUUUCCCCGCGUGCUCAUCGUGGGUUACCGAUCCUGAUGACAACCCUGCGAGGGCAACAAAGCUGCCAUGUUACCGGAAAUGCAUACGGCACAGGAUGUCGUAAAACAGAUCGAAUCGUCUGCAGGUCGAACUGCUUCUGAUUGGUCCUCUGAGCGUGUGAGUGGAGGGCGCUGACCAGACGCUUUGCAGCGCCUCGCUGACUCAUGCCAGAGCCCAGCUGAGAACGUUCAAAGUCCAGGUUUCCCAGGCCGUCUGAAUAUGUAUCAGCUAGACUUCAAAUGGAAACAAAAGAUGUUUUACGUCGCAGAACACAACACAAGACAGGCCCUGACCUCUAGAAACAAGCAGACUUUUACACUACCUUGUUUAGAAUAGAAAAAAUUCAAGUAGGGAUGCACCGAUGUAAAAAUUGAAAUAAAAAACAAAUAAACAUUGUUUGGACAUUAAUAUUGGCCCAGUUUUACUUUUCAGACCAAUACCGACAUGUUAAAAAAUGACUAACAUCAGCUGAUACCGAUAUGUUGUGCAUCCAGUUAAAAAAAAUUCUGUGCUUUGCAAUUAUAUUAUAUACCUUCGACAUUUCAGUGUUUCUUUUUUCAUAUUGUCACAAUUUUGACAAUUGUGUGUGGUUCUCCAAGUUGUUCUGUUUUUUUUCAGUGCAUUUGUAUAGAGGCCUGUCACGGUAACAAAUUUUGCUGGAUGAUAAAUUGUCCCAGAAGUUAUCGCGAUAAAUGAUAGCACUGUUGGAUUUGAGUCCAUUUUCAAGGAAUGCAACGGUAGCAGCAUAAUAACGCAAGAACCCAUUCUCAAAAACCAAUAAUCUGUAAAUUCUAAUGAACAGUUAAGACUGGAAGAAAUUUUAAAUAUAUAAAAUAAAUAAAGUAACAGAAAACGACAAAUAAAAAUGAUCUACGAAGUCUCUGUAAACAAAAUUCACCAAAUUGAAGACUUUAUUAUCCAGUUUUUGGGAGAAAGAGAGAGAGAGAAAAGAG
Xiphophorus couchianus (Monterrey platyfish) is the source of this 1023-nucleotide long non-coding RNA. RefSeq lists it as uncharacterized. NCBI's taxonomy places the organism in Eukaryota, Metazoa, Chordata, Actinopteri, Cyprinodontiformes, Poeciliidae. The record is from RefSeq and is a predicted model, not a curated record. The transcript has 2 exons.